RNAcentral lists this long non-coding RNA (293 nucleotides) under Manihot esculenta (cassava). RNAcentral's name for it is "long non-coding RNA (MESC_LNC003421)". Lineage: Eukaryota; Viridiplantae; Streptophyta; Magnoliopsida; Malpighiales; Euphorbiaceae. The record is from RNAcentral.
AGCUAGGGUCGUUCUUCCUCUCGAUCUUCAAGAGGUAAGCUUCGAUCUAUGCUUCUUUUAUGUUUUAUGAAAGUUUUAUGCAAGUUGAUGGGGUAGAAUGCAUGUUUAGGCUUGUUGUUAGGUUUAUGGAUUUAUGUUGUGAUUUGAACAAUGUAUGUUGGAAAUGAGUUGUUUGAAGUGUUGUAGUUGGGGUAUAUUAUAGUUUGAGACCCCUAGGUGUGAUGUAUGAUGUGUAUGCAUGUGUAGAAACAAGUUUAUGCAUGUUUUGAGGCGUUUUGGAGGCUGUGGACACA